UACGUAGGGGGCGAGCGUUGUCCGGAAUUAUUGGGCGUAAAGAGCGCGUAGGCGGCCCGCCAAGUCAGAUGUGAAAUCCCCCGGCUCAACCGAGGACCUGCAUUUGAAACUGGUGGGCUAGAGUUCAGGAGAGGGAAGUGGAAUUCCUAGUGUAGCGGUGAAAUGCGCAGAUAUUAGGAAGAACACCGGUGGCGAAGGCGGCUUCCUGGACUGUAACUGACGCUGAGGCGCGAAAGCUAGGGGAGCGAACAGG
Molecule: ribosomal RNA, 253 nt
Filed under: uncultured bacterium
Lineage: Bacteria
Description: partial 16S ribosomal RNA
Rfam family: Bacterial small subunit ribosomal RNA
Source: RNAcentral